RNAcentral lists this ribosomal RNA (326 nucleotides) under Ooperipatellus sp. DNA104628. RNAcentral describes it as "partial 12S ribosomal RNA". The record is from RNAcentral. Lineage: Eukaryota; Metazoa; Onychophora; Udeonychophora; Euonychophora; Peripatopsidae.
CUUAAUUUAAAAUAUUUAUUAAGUUGUAAGUACGAAACUUAAUAAUUUGGCGGUAUUUAAUUUUCUAGAGGAAUAUGUAAUGUAAUCGAUAAUUCCCGUUGAAUCUUACUUAUAUUUUUUUUGUAUAUCUCCGUUGUCAGAUAUUAUUUUAAAUAAGAAAAAUUUUCUUAAAAAAUAAAUUUAAUACUUCAGGUCAAGGUGCAUUAUAUAUAAGUUAUUAUGUAUUACAAUCGUUAUAGCGGAAUAAUUAUAUAUGGAAAAAUUUUGAAAUUGAAUUUAUAAGUAAAAUUAGAUAUUUAUCUAACUUGAAAAUUAAUUGAAUAUGU